This 245-nucleotide ribosomal RNA is filed under the name uncultured archaeon. RNAcentral's name for it is "partial 16S ribosomal RNA". It matches the Rfam family "Archaeal small subunit ribosomal RNA", at positions 474 to 721 of the family's 1478-position model. The record is from RNAcentral.
UACCCGCGCCACAAGUGGUGACCGCAAUUAUUGGGUUUAAAGCAUCCGUAGCCGGCUCGACAAGUCUCUGAUUAAAUCUCUCGUUAACCGGGAGGCUGUUAGAGAUACUAUCGAGCUAGGAACCAGGAGAGGUCUGGGGUACUUUUGGGGUAAGGGUGAAAUCUGUUGAUCCUAAAGGGACCACCGAUGGCGAAGGCACCAGACUAGAAUGGCUUCGACGGUGAGGGAUGAAAGCUAGGGGAGCG